This 253-nucleotide ribosomal RNA is filed under the name uncultured bacterium. Its description in RNAcentral is "partial 16S ribosomal RNA". It matches the Rfam family "Bacterial small subunit ribosomal RNA", at positions 524 to 776 of the family's 1533-position model. The record is from RNAcentral.
UACGUAGGGGGCAAGCGUUGUCCGGAUUUAUUGGGCGUAAAGAGCGUGUAGGCGGCCCGGUAAGUCCGCUGUGAAAGUCAGGGGCUCAACCCUUGAAUGCCGGUGGAUACUGUCGGGCUAGAGUGCGGAAGAGGCGAGUGGAAUUCCUGGUGUAGCGGUGAAAUGCGCAGAUAUCAGGAGGAACACCGAUUGCGAAGGCAGCUCGCUGGGACGUAACUGACGCUGAGACGCGAAAGCGUGGGGAGCAAACAGG